RNAcentral lists this ribosomal RNA (497 nucleotides) under uncultured bacterium. RNAcentral's name for it is "partial 16S ribosomal RNA". It matches the Rfam family "Bacterial small subunit ribosomal RNA", at positions 28 to 507 of the family's 1533-position model. The record is from RNAcentral.
GAUGAACGCUGGCGGCGUGCCUAAUACAUGCAAGUCGAGCGAACAGAUAAGGAGCUUGCUCCUUUGACGUUAGCGGCGGACGGGUGAGUAACACGUGGAUAACCUACCUAUAAGACUGGGAUAACUUCGGGAAACCGGAGCUAAUACCGGAUAACAUAUUGAACCGCAUGGUUCAAUAGUGAAAGGCGGCUUUGCUGUCACUUAUAGAUGGAUCCGCGCCGUAUUAGCUAGUUGGUAAGGUAACGGCUUACCAAGGCAACGAUACGUAGCCGACCUGAGAGGGUGAUCGGCCACCCUGGAACUGAGACACGGUCCAGACUCCUACGGGAGGCAGCAGUAGGGAAUCUUCCGCAAAGGGCGAAAGCCUGACGGAGCAACGCCGCGUGAGUGAUGAAGGUCUUCGGAUCGUAAAACUCUGUUAUCAGGGAAGAACAAAUGUGUAAGUAACUGUGCACAUCUUGACGGUACCUGAUCAGAAAGCCACGGCUAACUACGUG